RNAcentral lists this ribosomal RNA (490 nucleotides) under uncultured bacterium. RNAcentral's name for it is "partial 16S ribosomal RNA". It matches the Rfam family "Bacterial small subunit ribosomal RNA", at positions 30 to 507 of the family's 1533-position model. The record is from RNAcentral.
AUUGAACGCUGGCGGCAUGCUUUACACAUGCAAGUCGGACGGCAGCACAGAGAAGCUUGCUUCUUGGGUGGCGAGUGGCGCACGGGUGAGUAAUAUAUCUGAACGUACCGAGUAAUGGGGGAUAACUAAUCGAAAGAUUAGCUAAUACCGCAUAUUCUCUGAGGAGGAAAGCAGGGGACCUUCGGGCCUUGCGUUAUUCGAGCGGCCGAUAUCUGAUUAGCUAGUUGGUGGGGUAAAGGCCUACCAAGGCGACGAUCAGUAGCGGGUCUGAGAGGAUGAUCCGCCACACUGGGACUGAGACACGGCCCAGACUCCUACGGGAGGCAGCAGUGGGGAAUUUUGGACAAUGGGCGCAAGCCUGAUCCAGCCAUGCCGCGUGUCUGAAGAAGGCCUUCGGGUUGUAAAGGACUUUUGUCAGGGAAGAAAAGGCUGUUGCUAAUAUCGACAGCUGAUGACGGUACCUGAAGAAUAAGCACCGGCUAACUACGUG